This 487-nucleotide ribosomal RNA is filed under the name uncultured bacterium. RNAcentral describes it as "bacterial SSU rRNA". It matches the Rfam family "Bacterial small subunit ribosomal RNA", at positions 123 to 624 of the family's 1533-position model. The record is from RNAcentral.
AACUUGCCUCACAGACAGGGACAACAUUUGGAAACGGAUGCUAAUACCUGAUAUUAUGAACUGUGCGCAUGCAUAGAUUAUGAAAGCUAAAUGCACUGUGAGAGAGCUUUGCGUCCCAUUAGCUAGUUGGAGAGGUAACGGCUCACCAAGGCGAUGAUGGGUAGCCGGCCUGAGAGGGUGAACGGCCACAAGGGGACUGACACACGGCCCUUACUCCUACGGGAGGCAGCAGUGGGGAAUAUUGGACAAUGGACCGAGAAUCUGAUCCAGCAAUUCUGUGUGCACGAUGAAGUUUUUCGGAAUGUAAAGUGCUUUCAGUUGGGAAGAAGAAAGUGACGGUACCAACAGAAGAAGCGACGGCUAAAUACGUGCCGGCAGCCGCGGUAAUACGUAUGUCGCAAGCGUUAUCCAGAUUUAUUGGGCGUAAAGCGCGUCUAGGCGGUUUAUUAAGUCUGAUGUGAAAAUGCGGGGCUCAACUCCGUAUUGC